UACGGAGGGGGCUAGCGUUGUUCGGAAUUACUGGGCGUAAAGCGCGCGUAGGUGGUUCAGUAAGUUGGAUGUGAAAUCCCCGGGCUCAACCUGGGAAUUGCAUUCAAAACUGGCCAACUAGAAUACGGGAGAGGGGGGUAGAAUUCCAAGUGUAGCGGUGAAAUGCGUAGAGAUUUGGAGGAAUACCAGUGGCGAAGGCGGCCCCCUGGCCCGAUAUUGACGCUGAGGUGCGAAAGCGUGGGGAGCAAACAGG
Molecule: ribosomal RNA, 253 nt
Filed under: uncultured bacterium
Lineage: Bacteria
Description: partial 16S ribosomal RNA
Rfam family: Bacterial small subunit ribosomal RNA
Source: RNAcentral